AGAGUUUGAUUAUGGCUCAGGAUGAACGCUGGCGGCGUGCUUAACACAUGCAAGUCGAACGAAGCUCCUUGAACUGAAGAUUCGUCUGAUGGGAUAGGAAGACUUAGUGGCGGACGGGUGAGUAACGCGUGGGUAACCUGCCGUAUACAGGGGGAUAACAGUUAGAAAUGACUGCUAAUACCGCAUAAGCGCACAGUAAGGCAUCUUACAGUGUGAAAAACUCCGGUGGUAUACGAUGGACCCGCGUCUGAUUAGCCAGUUGGCAGGGUAACGGCCUACCAAAGCGACGAUCAGUAGCCGGCCUGAGAGGGUGAACGGCCACAUUGGGACUGAGACACGGCCCAAACUCCUACGGGAGGCAGCAGUGGGGAAUAUUGCACAAUGGGGGAAACCCUGAUGCCAGCGACGCCGCGUGAGUGAAGAAGCAUUUCGGUGCGUAAAGCUCUAUCAGCAGGGAAGAAAAUGACGGUACCUGACUAAGAAGCCCCGGCUAACUACGUGCCAGCCGCCGC
This 512-nucleotide ribosomal RNA is filed under the name uncultured bacterium. RNAcentral describes it as "bacterial SSU rRNA". It matches the Rfam family "Bacterial small subunit ribosomal RNA", at positions 8 to 518 of the family's 1533-position model. The record is from RNAcentral.